RNAcentral lists this ribosomal RNA (506 nucleotides) under uncultured bacterium. RNAcentral's name for it is "partial 16S ribosomal RNA". It matches the Rfam family "Bacterial small subunit ribosomal RNA", at positions 29 to 523 of the family's 1533-position model. The record is from RNAcentral.
AGUGAACGCUGGCGGUAGGCCUAACACAUGCAAGUCGAACGGCAGCACAGAGGAGCUUGCUCCUUGGGUGGCGAGUGGCGGACGGGUGAGGAAUACAUCGGAAUCUACUCUGUCGUGGGGGAUAACGUAGGGAAACUUACGCUAAUACCGCAUACGACCUACGGGUGAAAGCAGGGGAUCUUCGGACCUUGCGCGAUUGAAUGAGCCGAUGUCGGAUUGGCUAGUUGGGGGGGUAAAGGCCCACCAAGGCGACGCUCCGUAGCUGGUCUGUGAGGAUGAGCAGCCACACUGGAACUGAGACACGGUCCAGAAUCCUACGGGAGGCAGCAGUGGGGAAUAUUGGACAAUGGGCGCAAGCCUGAUCCAGUCAUACCGCGUGGGUGAAGAAGGCCUUCGGGUUGUAAAGCCCUUUUGUUGGGAAAGAAGUCCAGCUGGCUAAUACCCGGUUGGGAUGACGGUACCCAAAGAAUAAGCACCGGCUAACUUCGUGCCAGCAGCCGCCGUAA